AAAAGUUGGGGAGACCUGACGCUGAAAGAUGGACUCGCGUCCCAUUAGCUAGUUGGUAGGGUAAUGGCCUACCAAGGCGACGAUGGGUAGCCGGCCUGAGAGGGUGGCCGGCCACACUGGGACUGAGACACGGCCCAGACUCCUACGGGAGGCAGCAGUGGGGAAUUUUGCGCAAUGCUCGUAAGAGUGACGCAGCGACGCCGCGUGAAUGACGAAGGCCUUCGGGUCGUAAAGUUCUUUCGACAGGGAAGAAAAUGCCUAUAAGUAACUGUGUAUGUAUUGGCGGUACCUGUAUAAGCAGCCCCGGCUAACUCCGUGCCAGCAGCCGCGGUAAUACGGAGGGGGCGAGCGUUGUUCGGAGUGACUGGGCGCAAAGAGCACGUAGGCGGUGUUGUAAGUCAUUAGUCAAAGACUAGAGCUCAACUUUAGUAAGGCUAGUGAUACUAUAAUACUAGAGUAUCAGAGAGGAUUGCAGAAUUCCUGGUGUAGCGGUGAAAUGCGUAGAUAUCAGGAGGAAUACCGUUAGCGAAGGCGGCAAUCUGGCUGGAAACUGACGCUGAGGUGCGAAAGCGUGGGUAGCAAACAGGAUUAGAUACCCUGGUAGUCCACGCUGUAAACGAUGGAUGCUAGGUGUUGGGCUUUUAAGUUCA
This 650-nucleotide ribosomal RNA is filed under the name uncultured bacterium. RNAcentral describes it as "bacterial SSU rRNA". It matches the Rfam family "Bacterial small subunit ribosomal RNA", at positions 202 to 842 of the family's 1533-position model. The record is from RNAcentral.